GGAUUCAUUUCGCAACACCUACGGCUUCCACUAGAUGUCAACGAUCUUUAUAAAGUUGUUUGAAGCGUCUAUGAUAAACAGAGAGCAAAUUAGAAUCCAAGGAAGUUGACAUGUCAUCACUUCAUUUUUUGCGCCUGCGCAUAAAUCUGAGAGACGUGAGUUUGUCAUCAUUUUUUAUCUAGACAUAGGAUAGGUUGUGUGAAAAUAUUACUGAUGUUUAACGUUAAAAAUGGACCAAAAGAUUAAUGCUAAACAACAUUUGACAUGUUUGAACGAACAUAAAUAGAUUAUUUACUAGGUUUUUUUAGCUUUUCGGCGUGAUUUUACCAGCCCCACACCACGUUUUGUGGGAGCAUAAUGAACGCUAAGUACUUGGUGUUAUUUGGACAUAAAUUAUGAACUUUGUCAAAAGAAACCACAUUUGUUCCGGACCUGGAAUGCCUUCCGGACCUGGGAUCCUGCCUUCUGAUGGAGAUAAUCAAAGACACACUAAAAGAGGACAAACGAGCUGUCAGGCCUGCUGGCCAUGUGACCUCUAAGUGCUUUGUCCAUUAUUACAUUGGAUGUUACAGAAGAUGUGCUUGACUGAGCAUUGAUUAACCUCUGCAUUGGAAGGGAGAUUCAUGAGGCUGUUACGAACCGGCUCUGAGUUCGCAACAAAAGGGAGACAACGUGGAGACAAGGGGUAUCAAAAUAUCUAUUUAUUAACUAAAGUAACUAAAUAAUUAACAAUGGCGUGUGUGUAAUCAGUAAUCAGUAGUGUAAGUGAGUGUUUUGCAUACCUGAAUGUAAUAAUGCAGGGUGUUGAAAGGUGCCAAAGCAAAUAACCAAAAAAGCCACAAAACUACACAACCAAAAUCAACAAAGUGUCUGCAUGGAGAGAGUCCUCCCAAUAACUGUGGAAGAGGUCUCUUUAUCCUGGGACACAGCUGGGCCCAGGUGCUUCCCAUUUAGCUGACGACCCUUCCAACUCCGCCCACCGGCAUCCUAACAAGGAAACAAGAACAGAGAGAAUACGGCAGACAGAGUGG
RNAcentral lists this long non-coding RNA (1031 nucleotides) under Salmo salar (Atlantic salmon). Its description in RNAcentral is "lncRNA (ENSSSAG00000091985.1, ENSSSAG00000115836.1)". Lineage: Eukaryota; Metazoa; Chordata; Actinopteri; Salmoniformes; Salmonidae. The record is from RNAcentral.